UUUUUCCUCUCAAUUUGCUGCUGUUCAAUUCGUUUUUGAGGGUCAGUAGUGGUUGUGUCGCAAAUUUCGAAUAAUGGGAUGGUUAGGUAGGUGGUGUACGUUUCCAUAAAUAAUGGUAUAAGUAUGUACACAUGGCAUGACCUUCUCGAAAUGCUUCUCCACGUCUUCGUCUUUGCAUUCCGAAUUAUAAUUGCGUGGC
Caenorhabditis elegans is the source of this 199-nucleotide non-coding RNA. The record is from Ensembl. NCBI's taxonomy places the organism in Eukaryota, Metazoa, Nematoda, Chromadorea, Rhabditida, Rhabditidae.